UACGGGGGGAGCAAGCGUUGUUCGGAUUUACUGGGCGUAAAGGGCGCGUAGGCGGCGCAACAAGUCACUUGUGAAAUCUCCGGGCUUAACCCGGAGCGGCCAAGUGAUACUGUCGUGCUAGAGUGCGGAAGGGGCUACUGGAAUUCUCGGUGUAGCGGUGAAAUGCGUAGAUAUCGAGAGGAACACCGAUGGCGAAGGCAGCCUCCUGGGCCAACACUGACGCUCAUGCACGAAAGCGUGGGGAGCAAACAGG
Molecule: ribosomal RNA, 253 nt
Filed under: uncultured bacterium
Lineage: Bacteria
Description: partial 16S ribosomal RNA
Rfam family: Bacterial small subunit ribosomal RNA
Source: RNAcentral